CCUGGGGUCUAUCUUUACUGGAAAAUUCUCUACCUGGUGAAAAACAACUCCUGGAGUGCCCUGGGAGUGAUAGAAUACCUAACCAUGGGACAUCAUGUGAUCACAAGGUCAUAACUGUCCAACAUGAACUGUGUCCUUUUCCCAUCAAGCCAUAGGGUUGAGCUGGCCCAACAACAGCCAUCAUAAAAUGAAAAUGGCACAGGAUUGAACACAAGCAGGACCAGAAGGUGGAAGCAAGCUGCAUGAGCAGGUAGCAUUGGCUGUGCCACCUCCAUUUAGUGACAGAAGGCUCCCAGAUCCCCCUUCAAGGAAGGACUUGCUCCCAGCUGCAGGAAAGGUGGUCAGCAGAACUGCUGUGAGCUAUCUGUUCCUUGAGGGCGGCCUCAGCUGCUUUACCAGAACCAUUCCUUCCCGGGGCAGCCAGUAUUCUGGGACUGGGAAGGCCCUGCCGGACCCUACUUCUUCCCACAGUCCCUGGGGACUAGCAAGGCUUUGGGGGCCUGUAUCUGGAUCAAAGUUCAACUUUCCCUUUGCUCUGCGCUGCCUCUUUCUUUCACAAGUACCGGUCCCCGAUGAACACCUCAUACUUCAAAUUCCAUUUCAGCAUCUGUUUCUAGAGAACUCAGCCUGUGACAGAGACCCAGCCCUGGAUCAGUGAUGGAACUCUGUACAGAUUUGCUCCUCGCUCGGAGAGAGAACAGGCCAGUGCAGUGGCGUGGUGUGGAGGGCAGGUUCCAUUUCCAAGCUGGCAGUGGUGCUGCCAUCUAUAACACUUAGGGUCCAGGGUCAGCCUGGUUGUUUCCUGGUCUCUUCCCUUCCAGCCUGUGGGGGCAGAGGGUAGACAACACGAGGAGGAGACACUCCUGCUUCUGAAGGGCUUUGUCCCCAGGGUGACACACUUCCCAUGGCCACAUCCAGCUGCUUGGCAGGCUGGCAGCCCAGGCUGGGUGCCACCUGGACCCACGUGUCUCAUGUUGUGUCUCAUGUCAGGUUCUGCCAGAAGCUGACCUUGACACUAGGAACUGAAUGCAGGGAGUUGAUCUGGAAGGGGAUCUCAGGAAACCCUGGGAGAGGAUGGAAAACGAGACAGGGAAGGGAAGGGAGCCAAUAAACCGUGUCACAAGCAAGGUACUGCACGCUAUGAGAGGAAUUUCUCCCUGAGCUACUGUGAGAGACCAAGUAGAACAUCCCAGGUCGUCCCCCAAAGAGGGAAGACGCUGAGGUGUCCACCCUGCAGUCUCUGCCUGUGGCUGGUGGGGGCUGAUUCCGGGAUGGGAGCUCUGGCACAAGUGGUCUCUGGUGCAGAGAGCUGCCACUGCUCAGUCAGCAGUGCUCGGCGUGUGGGGCUGAGCACCCAGGACACACUCGGCCUCUGCGGCCAACGCUCUUUGCCUGGAAGGACAGCCAAGUAUCACUCCCUCACUGUUGCUCUUCAGAGUGACUCACUGGAAACAGCUCACAUAUGUUUGCAUGGGUUUAAUUAGGAUGAAACGUCCACGAUUCACCACCCUCUUUGGCAAAUGAAGAAAACGAGCACAGAAAUCAAGGAAGACAGAAACCACACUUGCCUGAGAACCUUCAUCACCUGGGAUUUGUGGCAAAUCUGUUUCCCUGAGCGUCCUGAGUCUGCAUGGGUGGGAAACGGCCGAGUGAAGAGGGGAGACAGCUCCGGGCAGUGGGUGCUGGCCGUGAAAGGCGUUUCCCUGCUCCGAGAGUUUCCACAGGGAGAUUCUGGUUAAUAAUGGUGGAUUGGACACUGGAGACUUGCGAAGAGAGUGUUGUGUGCUCACCACAAAAAAAUGGAAAAAAUAAAUAUAUAAGGUGAUGGAUAGGUCAGUUAGCUUGAUUGGUGAAGUCAUUUCACAAUGUACAUGUAUACCAAAGCAUCCAGUUGUACACCUGAAAUAUAUAACCAUGUUUAUUUAUUACUAUUGAUAAAUAAAGCUGGGGGAAAAAAAGAAGAGCUUCUGCUCGAACUACGGAAGUCCCCCACAUCCCACGCUUCUGUCCUACUGACCUAUAUAACGCUUCUGCAAGAAGGAAACAGACAUUAAAAACACUUCCAGACGCCCAUCUAAUGGACCAAACAACUGAAUUCAACCACAUGUCUCUUUAGCUCAGGUAUCUUGCUGAAACAUGGCAUAAUGAGCAUCCAUCUCUUAUUGUAAAUGAAAUAUUUUCAAGGCUGCUCUAAUUCAGAGAACAUGGUGGAUCACAAUCUUUUUCACUUAGCCAGGCAUGGGGUAAGGGUCUAUGCAGCUGUCAAUGUAACUAACUAAGCAGGAGUUCCAGCAGGUUCCAGUGCCGUGGAAGGUUGACCCAGAGCCUGGUUUGAAACAGAGGAGAUGUCAUUAGAAUUUCUAAAAGCAAGAAGACAAACCUGGGGAAGGCAGGCUUUUUAAUUCACUUUUUUCCCACCAGAUCCUUGUCUUCUCUUGGAGUUAGAAAGUUUUUAGAGGAUUCUGAAAUUAAUAAAGGCAGAAUACAAGAAUGAGACAGGUCACAGGAAGUGGGCACACACGCUUCUCUUUGAGUUUGGGAGAAAGACCACCUUGGCGCUUCUUACUACUCAUUCCUGACUUUUGUGGAGCGGACCUAAUGGUUUUCCCAUGCCCUCCUGCGGGUAAAUGACUCCAUGCUGCUGGGUGAAGCUGUGGUGGCAUCCAGGCUUGGAAUCCCAGGGAUGUGCUCGCUGGGGCUCCUCCAUCCCAAGGGAGAUGGCUUGGAUGCAGAGCCAAACUGUUUAGAAGUGUGAUGCCACCGGCAUGAAAAUGUUACCGGAUAAAUAGAUAACCCAGGCAUCAAGUCACCGUGAUCCAGAGCCCAUAAUGUCUGGAAUGGGCAAAGCUGCAGAGACGAAGGACGCCAUUUUGAUAGGUCUGAUCCAAAUGAAGAGAAGUCUGAUAGAGAUAAGAGGACAUCUGUUCCUCUGACUCUAGACAAAUUGAUUGCUAGAUCCGCAGGGUGGGUUUUUCUUGCUCUUCCCCUUCCUUCCUUCCCUCCCUCUCUCCUCCCCUUUCCCCUCCUUUCCAUCAAUCCUUCCUUCUGUCCUUCUUUCCUUCCUUCCCUCUCUCUCUUCCUCUCUCCCUCCCUCCCUCCCUCUUCUUUUCCCUCUAGCCCUCCCUACUUCUUCCUUCCUUCACUUUUUUCCUCCUUCCUUCAUUUCUUGGCUGGAAGUUUCCAGUUUAGUUGUUUACAGAGCUGAAAUCAACUGGCUAAUUGUCAGUUUUUCUCUCUGCUUCAUAGUAAGCAGUGUCUUACCUGAGCUAAAUGCUUACUCACGCAGGAUAAUAAGAAAUACAGAAAGCCACAGAAGCAUUUAGAAGACAAACAGGUUAUAAAAUUGCCUAUUAGGAACUCUAAUUUAAAAUCAUUUCCAAAAGCUUCUGCCUUCUUUCACCCAGCUGCUACCCCCUCCUUAAAAUUUCCAGCACUACGUGCAAAAUGUGGAUGUUUUCAAAGGUCAGGCCAGGAGGCUCACUUGAAGCCUCAAUUACUUUCUCAUGAAAGGAAAAGAGGGUUAAAAAAAAGGCACCAAGAUAUUCCGAGGAAAUUUUAAUUAGGUACCAAAUGGCAAAUGCAAAUUCAGAUCUUUCCAAAAGCUAAGAUGAAAUGGCUUACCCAGAAUACCUGUUGCUGAUAAAACUUACUAAGGUGAGUGGUGGGUCGUGUCUAUGAAUGAGAAGACACACUUGUGUGGCACAUGGCUGUGUUCAUGAAAGUGCUGUUAUAUACAAGCCAAAAAUACGUUCAAAAGAUCUUUGUAACCAAUGGAAAGAAAAAUGUGUUAUUUUCAUGUCAUGUUAAUGUGUUUUUUUCCCUGCGGCUAAUUAUGCUAUUUCAAGAAAAUAAUUGGAAUUGGCUAGAAGAAAUUAAGAAUAGAAACUUGCAAAUUAUAUAACCUAAUGAAUCUAACUUUUAGUAAUGAACCUAGUUGCUACUUAACACGCAUCACUGAAACCUGCAUUAAACAGAGGAGCCCUCCUAAUUCUUCUCAUUCAACUGAACCAUUCUUAAUAAUUCAUAAUUAAGUCUGGCACAGAAAUGAUAGUCUCCAUGGCAAUAUUGAUUUAUUUGCUUUUUCUGUCUCUGCCAAAUGUUGAAAAAUGACAGAAUUCUGAGUUGAAGGAGGCAAGUGCCAUCAACAAGGAUCACAGAAGAAAAGAAGUGACAAAGGGCUUUACCAAAAGUCCUUUCUCUCUUAACUCCCAGAAAGACGAGAUAUAAAGUGGAGGAAAAUGGAAUGUGGGGCUUAUGGGCUCACGGGUUAGGGUUUAGUGUGAACUAGCAAUGACGAGCACAUAGUGGUCCUGGGAAGGUGGGAGCCCAUUGAGAUCCGUGUCCAUAAUGUGAGAGCAAAGGUCUUCUGAGGCUGGAGAAGAGACUCGGCCCCACUCACCCCAUCUCCAGCUUACUUUCUGCUUGAAAGACCAUCAGAGUCUGCGCUUGCAGAGAAAACAAGGUGAAUGAGGACAAAUUCAAAAAAUGCCCCGUGCAGUCUUCAUGUCUUCUCCUUGGGCCCUUUAACUGAAUACACUAUAGACUUGAGAAUGUGUGCUAUUAACAUAAACUUGAAAAACCCCAAAUUGGCUUCCGACUGCGAUCACUCAUUUUGCCUGUUCUUCGUAAAACAGUCCCUCUGCUCGUGCUGAAACGUUCCCCAAGGACCCGUCCUCUGAACCCUGAACCCUGACACUGAAGGAAAUGAAGGCAGCUUGAACGCACAGAUCACAAUGCUGCGCCGUUAUUUUUAGAACACAGAGUAAUGAAAACAGUAAUACUCAUAAUAAAAGUAAUAGACGCAAUUAAAGUCUAUCUUCAGAGAUAUAAACAGGAGUCAAACAGUGUAUAAGCAUCGUAUUUUAAAAGUCCAAUUAAGAAUCUGCCUUGAAGGGGGUUGGGAAGAAAAACCCAGGGCAUGAAUGCCCGCAUGAACGCGCUGCAUCCUGGACCGCUGUGUCCAAGAGUCAGGCCCUCCUUAGCCCUGGAGGAUCUCCUGUUUGUGAUUUAUUGUGCUUUUUCCUUUAAUGCCUUCCAGCCAGUUGGGCAACAACAUUUUAUUGAAUGGGAGUUUGAUGUGUGUUGAAUGGUGUACUAGAGGCUUGUAAAAAACGGCUUAGAAUAAUCUAAGGCCAGCAACAUUUCCCAGAGGAAACGCUGAACCAUCACACAGACAGAGGGCUGCCUUUGGGUGAAGGAUGUCACAUUUGGAAGACUGGCUUGGAUCACACUCACAAGCCUGUGUGCACCACUGGAGGACUGUGCCCUACAAUGAGACUCCAGAUGCCAAGCGAGCUUGGCAAUGUGUCCAGAUACUAGUGAAGAAGCAGACCCACCUGGAUUGGAGUUCAACUCUGACACCAACCAGCUGUGCAAUCUUGGCCAAAGUCACCGCACCUCUCUGAACCUCCAUUUCUUUAGCUAUAAAAUGGGGAUGAUUGCUCCUGUUCUAUCUGCUUUCCAGGUUGUUUCAGAAUUCAGUGGAUAUGGGAGAUGUGAAAGCAAAGGGUAAAGUAUAAAGCAGAUUGCAAACAAAGAGUCCCAGCUCUUCCUGUACCAGCUGUGUGACUUUUAACAAGCUACUUAACCUCUCUGUGCCUCAAAUUCCUUAUUCAUAACAUGGAGAUAAUAGUAAUAUCACUCUCAUAGGAUUGUAGUGAAUAUUAAGUAAAUUAAUAUGAAGUACUUAGCAUAGUGCUUCUCAUUAUUACUAUUAAUAAUUAAGGCUUUUGUUGAAAAGGAAAGUGAAAAACAGAUUGCCUUUUUCUGUCUGAGAGGGACCCAACUUAUGUCCAUCAAGUCGUGGGACCUUGACAGAGCUUCCUGAGAGGACCCUGAAAUAAAUCCCAAAGGACAGCAAGGCCAUUAAAAAUUGUGUCAGUGAUGUAAUUUUAAAAACAACAUGUAAUUCCCACAAAAACUGGAACAAAUGAGAUUUUACUCUCCAAUAAGUGGAUGGCUACUGUACGUGUCUGUCUGUGCAGGUUCACACAAUAAAAAAACAAGCAGAAAACUCUCAUUCAUUCAUUUAGAAGUCAACAUUUGCUGAACCCCUACUGUGCAUGAAGUUCUUGCUAAACAUAGUAGGGACACCUGUGACAGAGACGCCCUUGAUCUUCCCAGGAGAGAGUGCCGAUUAAGCGGCAUGCUACAGACGUGUCGAGAGGAAUAAAAAGGCUGGGAGCCCAGAGGAGGGGCUGAUGUGCUUCUUGGGCGCAGGGGAAGAGGGUCGUGGGGACAGACAGAGCUGGAGGAGGAGUUUUGAUCAGAUAGAGAAGGGGUCAGCCCAGUCGGGGCAGGGCGACGAGCACAGAACAUGGCUGCCUCCUACGAGCAGGGAGAGGAGAGGAGGAGGGGUGGGCAGAGUCUGAGGAGCCUGGAAUGCCAGACCAAGCUCUUUGGAUCUCAGCUGAGGCAGCGAGCAGUCAAGGGAGUCUCUAAACGGGGGCAGGAUGUGAGCUAAUCUCACUGUUGGGUGCUCACUCCAGGUGGUGUGAAGGUUGGACCAGAAAAGGGAGAGACCAAGGCACGAGGCCCUGAGCAGGUGUUAGAGGUUUCGGCAAGAAACCAUUGGACUGGCUGCCCUUGACCCAGAUGAAACACCCCAAUGUCCUGACUUUAGCACAUGGCAACACGCGUCCCUCGUCCUUGGAUGAGAUGGUGCAGAAGGGCCAUCCCGGGAAGAGGCUGCUCCCCAUCCUCAGCACUUCCAAGCUGUGCUGUGCUUGGAAACCCAAGGGAAAGGCAUAAAGUGGAGACAGCAGGUUGAGGCUUCUUUGUGUAGGAGGAGACUGAGGAACGAGAAAGGGUCUGUAGCCCCUUCCUUCCCUCUUCCUGGUUUGACUUUCCGGAAAUGAAGAGAAGUGCAAAGAAGCCCUGGUGUGACUUCCCUGGGAUGAGAUACAAGCGGAAGUAGCACCCCUUGCAGGACCAGCCUUGGUGGUCCUACGAAAACCAUUUCAUCACCCUGGAGAGCAUGGCUGCCCAUAAUGAACACUGUGCAAUUCAAUUCACGCUGAAUAAAUUAAUUGACAGAGGAGCACAUGGCGAGAUGCAUAAAUUCCUCAUUGAUAUGCAUUAUUGAAAACAAGGAACUGAUGUGGAAAAAGACAGUGAGCAUCUUCAGCCACACCAAGGAGGUCACAAACCUCAAACAGCCACAGGUAGUCUUGGAAACAUCCCUAUCCCCAUUCCUCUCGCUUCUUCUUCUACUUUAAUUUAAAAAGCUAUUGAUGGCCUGGCUCAAAGAUCCCUGUUUUUCUAUUCAAACAGCUUCCUUGAAGUUUGAAAAAUAGAAAAUAUUCCCCUGAGUGUAAAGAACACACAUUCCCCUGAGUGUAAAGAAUGAGUAACCUGGCAAAGUGAAAUUAAAAAGUUG
Molecule: long non-coding RNA, 7378 nt
Organism: Equus caballus (horse)
Lineage: Eukaryota; Metazoa; Chordata; Mammalia; Perissodactyla; Equidae
Source: Ensembl